Molecule: long non-coding RNA, 184 nt
Organism: Oncorhynchus gorbuscha (pink salmon)
Lineage: Eukaryota; Metazoa; Chordata; Actinopteri; Salmoniformes; Salmonidae
Exons: 3
Source: RefSeq, a predicted model, not a curated record
CGUCUAUGUUUUUAAUGACUACCGGAUGGAGGAGUGUGCCCCUGGAGGCUGUUUAAUAGAGUUGUGUAUUCAGCUCAGCAUCAUCAUGGUGGGGAAACAACUCAUUCAGAACAAUGUCUUUGAGAUCGGCAUCCCUAAGUUGAAGAAGUUGAUCCGAGCAUGGAAGGGUAAGGGGAUUUCAUUG